RNAcentral lists this long non-coding RNA (389 nucleotides) under Fukomys damarensis (Damara mole-rat). RNAcentral's name for it is "lncRNA (ENSFDAG00000025350.1)". Lineage: Eukaryota; Metazoa; Chordata; Mammalia; Rodentia; Bathyergidae. The record is from RNAcentral.
GUGAUGUGCGGGAGUGGUGGGCAACCCCUCUCUCACGCUCCAGUGUCCUCAUUGCCUGGAAUACUGGUGUUCCUCAUAUCACCAUGAGCUCAUGAGUGCAUCCUUAAAUAAACACUGAGGAACAGUGGGGAACUUUCCAGGAAUAGAAGAUUUCCCUGAGAACCUGGCACCAGCUACUAAGAAGGCAGUUUCAGAGUAUUGUUUCAGAUCCACCUUGGAAGAAAGAUGUGAUGAUGAUAAUCUCGGCCCAUUGUUACAAGAUAGAUGAAAAACAAAGGAAUAACUGCUCAGAGCUUCUAGAAAGUUUACUACAUGUGUGGCUGAUUCUAGCCCACGUUGUAUUUCCAGUUGUGCUGAUCUACACCAGUAUCAGAAAAGGUGAUUACUGA